GCGUGGGAACGUACCCUUCACUACGGAAUAGCUUCUGGAAACGGAAGGUAAUACCGUAUACGCCCUCCGGGGGAAAGAUUUAUCGGUGAAGGAUCGGCCCGCGUUAGAUUAGUUUGUUGGUGGGGUAAUGGCCUACCAAGACUACGAUCUAUAGCUGGUCUGAGAGGAUGAUCAGCCACACUGGGACUGAGACACGGCCCAGACUCCUACGGGAGGCAGCAGUGGGGAAUCUUGCACAAUGGGCGAAAGCCUGAUGCAGCCAUGCCGCGUGAAUGAUGAAGGCCUUAGGGUUGUAAAAUUCUUUCGCCAGGGAUGAUAAUGACAGUACCUGGUAAAGAAGCCCCGGCUAACUUCGUGCCAGCAGCCGCGGUAAUACGAAGGGGGCUAGCGUUGUUCGGAAUUACUGGGCGUAAAGCGCGCGUAGGCGGGCUAUUAAGCCAGAUGUGAAAGCCCGGAGCUCAACUCCGGAAUUGCAUUUGGAACUGGUAGCCUAGAGACCAGGAGAGGUUAGCGGAAUACCGAGUGUAGAGGUGAAAUUCGUAGAUAUUCGGUGGAACACCAGUGGCGAAGGCGGCUAACUGGACUGGUACUGACGCUGAGGCGCGAAAGUGUGGGGAGCAAACAGGAUUAGAUACCCUGGUAGUCCACACCGUAAACGAUG
RNAcentral lists this ribosomal RNA (661 nucleotides) under Henriciella marina. RNAcentral describes it as "bacterial SSU rRNA". It matches the Rfam family "Bacterial small subunit ribosomal RNA", at positions 115 to 811 of the family's 1533-position model. Lineage: Bacteria; Pseudomonadati; Pseudomonadota; Alphaproteobacteria; Hyphomonadales; Hyphomonadaceae. The record is from RNAcentral.